AGAGUUUGAUCAUGGCUCAGGACAACGCUGGCGGCGUGCUUAACACAUGCAAGUUGAACGGGCAGACUUGUCUGUUAGUAGCGGACGGGUGAGUAAUGCAUGAGGAGCUGUCAUAGGGAGGGGGACAACAGUUGGAAACGGCUGCUAAUACCCCGUAGCCGGAAGGUGAAAGGAGCGAUCCGCCCGAUGAGGUACUCAUGUCCUAUCAGCUGGUUGGUGGGGUAACGGCCUACCAAGGCGACGACGGGUAGCCGGCCUGAGAGGGUGAACGGCCACACUGGAACUGAGAUACGGUCCAGACUCCUACGGGAGGCAGCAGUGGGGAAUAUUGGGCAAUGGGGGGAACCCUGACCCAGCGACGCCGCGUGAGGGCGGUCGUUGACCUCUUUUGUACGGGAACUGUACGAAUAAGUCCCGGCAACUACGUGCCAGCAGCCGCGGUAAUACGUAAGGGACGAGCGUUGUCCGGAAAUACUGGGCGUAAAGGGCGCGCAAGCGGAAAUGCAAGUCUGCUGUGUAAUGUCACGGCUCAAACCGUGUCAUUGCGGGGGAACUGCAUAUCUGGAGUACUGGAGAGGGGAGUGGAAUCCCCGGUGUAGCGGUGAAAUGCAUAGAUAUGCUACAGAACACCAAUGNCGAAGGCAGCUCACUAAACUCAACUGACGCUCAUGCACGAAAGCGUGGGGAUCAAACAGGAUUAGAUACCCUGGUAGUCCACGCUGUAAACGAUGAUUACUCGUUGUUGGCGACACACAGUCAGCGACCAAGCGAAAGUGAUAAGUAAUCCACCUGGGGAGUACGAUCGCAAGGUUGAAACUCAAAGGAAUUGACGGGGGCCCGCACAAGCGGUGGAGCAUGUGGUUUAAUUCGAUGAUACGCGAGGAACCUUACCUGGGCAAUGUUGUUGACGUAUUCUGAAAGGGAUACUUUCGCAUAACAGGUGCUGCAUGGUUGUCGUCAGCUCGUGCCGUGAGGUGUCGGGUUAAGUCCCAUAACGAGCGCAACCCCUAUCAUUAGUUGCCAUCAGGUCAAGCUGGGGACUCUAAUGAAACUGCCUACGCAAGUAGAGGAAGGUGGGGAUGACGUCAAAUCAGCACGGCCCUUACGUCCAGGGCUACACACGUGCUACAAUGGCCGGUACAAAGGGCAGCUACCUGGUGACAGGAUGCUAUCUCGAAAGCCGGUCUCAGUUCGGAUCGGAGUCUGCAACCCGACUCCGUGAAGCUGGAAUCGCUAGUAAUCGCGCAUCAGCCAUGGCGCGGUGAAUACGUUCCCGGGCCUUGCACACACCCCCGUC
Molecule: ribosomal RNA, 1297 nt
Filed under: uncultured Synergistota bacterium
Lineage: Bacteria; Thermotogati; Synergistota
Description: bacterial SSU rRNA
Rfam family: Bacterial small subunit ribosomal RNA
Source: RNAcentral